NNNNNNNNNNNGAUUCCCUAGUAACUGCGAGUGAAGCGGGAAAAGCUCAAAUUUAAAAUCUGGCGGUUCUUGUAGCCGUCCGAGUUGUAAUUUAGAGAAGUGUUAUCCGCGCUGGACCGUGUACAAGUCUCCUGGAAUGGAGCGUCAUANAGGGUGAGAAUCCCGUCUYUGACACGGACUGCCAGGGCUUUGUGAUGCGCUCUCGAAGAGUCGAGUUGUUUGGGAAUGCAGCUCAAAAUGGGUGGUAAAUUCCAUCUAAAGCUAAAUAUUGGGGAGAGACCGAUAGCGAACAAGUACCGUGAGGGAAAGAUGAAAAGAACUUUGGAAAGAGAGUUAAACAGUACGUGAAAUUGCUGAAAGGGAAACGCUUGAAGUCAGUCGCGUCGUYCAGGACUCAGCCUUGCUUUUGCUCUGUGUACUUCUUGUUCGACGGGUCAGCAUCAAUUUUGGUCGGUGGAUAAAGGCUUAGAGAAUGUGGCAUCUUCGGGUGUGUUAUAGCUCCAGGUYGCAUACAUCGGCUGGGAYUGAGGAACUCAGCACGCCGCAAGGCCGGGUACUUGUACCACGUACGUGCUUAGGAUGCUGGCAUAAUGGCUUUAAUCGACCCGUCUUGAAACACGGACCAAGGAGUCUAACAUGCGUGCGAGUGUUUGGGUGGAAAACCCGAGCGCGUAAUGAAAGUGAAAGUUGAGAUCCCUGUCGUGGGGAGCNUCGACGCCCGGAGCAGACCUUUUGUGACGCAUCCGCGGUAGAGCAUGUAUGUUGGGACCCGAAAGAUGGUGAACUAUGCCUGAAUAGGGUGAAGCCAGAGGAAACUCUGGUGGAGGCUCGUAGCGAUUCAGACGUGCAAAUCGAUCGUCGAAUUUGGGUAUAGGGGCGAAAGAGUCAUCGAACCAUCUUANNNNNNNNNNNNNNN
Molecule: ribosomal RNA, 916 nt
Filed under: Atheniella flavoalba
Lineage: Eukaryota; Fungi; Basidiomycota; Agaricomycetes; Agaricales; Mycenaceae
Description: partial 25S ribosomal RNA
Rfam family: Eukaryotic large subunit ribosomal RNA
Source: RNAcentral